This is a non-coding RNA of Meleagris gallopavo (turkey), 10470 nucleotides long. Lineage: Eukaryota; Metazoa; Chordata; Aves; Galliformes; Phasianidae. The record is from RefSeq and is a predicted model, not a curated record.
GUAAAAUUUCAAGUAAGAAUUAGAAGGUCUUUUAUGGUGACUAUUAAAUCCACACUGAAUCACAGAGAUGCAAACUAGAAGGAGCCUCUGGAAGUCAGCUGGUCCAGCCUCCCUUUCAAAGCAGGACUUGUAUUUGUGAUACCACAGAUCACCAGUGGCUUUUUCUAGUCAAGUGUUGAAAUCUUCAAAGAAUAGAGACUGCACAGCCGUUCAGGAGCACUUGUUUCCUUGUUAGGACUGUCUGAUGCUACUAAUAAAAAGUGGACAACAACACUGAGCAGCACUGAAGGAAAUUCCGAGGACAGGAAGAAGUUGUACAUUUUCAGAACCACUCCAUAAGAGUGUAUUUUGAAAAAAGGCCAGUUUUCUUCUUAAUCUGAACAAGUGUAUUAAGACCCAUUAAGCCGAAAAUUGCUUUCCUGCUCUCAGGAACACUCUCUUACAAAGUACAGGUUAAUGAUUGCAAAAUUCGUUCAAGGUAAUAAAAUCUUUGCUCAGUAGAAUUCAGAGGCAGCUUCUUACUGAGCAGAGUUUUACCAUCGAGAAUUAAAUAAUCUCUGUUUAGCAUACUAUGUUUCAGUUACCCUUUUUUUCUUUCCUCCCCAAAACACUGAAACUAAUGCAACAAGCUGGUGUAACAAUAUGAUGCUAAUGAAGAUAGCUUCCCUCUAGAAACACAAGACAUGAAAACUUUUUAGACCAGAAAAAGAGGCUGUACUGGAAAACAAAAUACUUCUUUUCUGUCUUGCUCACUCCUUUUGGGGGAAAAAAAAAAACUUUCCUUCCAUGUGUCUAAUGUUUUAUCACUGUAAGUUAAGUAGUGGUAGCAAUAACUUUGUAAGUCAGUGUGUUGAAAAGUGAAGUAUAUUUACCAGAGAAACCUGUAUGUACCAGUGGGGGCAAGAAAGGAAUAGUGAAAGAAAUUCUGCAAUCUGAGCUAGUAGAGGAAGUGAAUAUUACAGUGGUCUGCAUGUCUUUGAGUACCAAUAAGUGAGAAACCCAGUAAUCUAAAAGGCCGGUGGGUAGGUAUUUUUCUUUGCUGUUAAACAGUUACUGAGAAGUCAGCAUAAAUAGCCCCUUAUCUCUUGUUCUCAUUAUAUAUCAUGGUUUUUCUGUUUUCUGCACAAAACUCAAGGAUCUAGAAUCUUGAAAGGUUGCAACUUGCUGAUACCCCUGAAAAGUAACUUACAUGUUUACAAGCAGCCCGUACUGUUGUCAUUCUGCUGUUUUUAUUUCUUUUUUUCCUGAAAAAGUGCUGCAAGAAAUCACUGAAAGAGUCUCAGUUGGAAUUUUCUGGUUUUCCGGUGAAAAUGGGAGAGCAGUGUAACAGAGGGAAAAAGUCAAUUAAAGGGAAAGGGAACAUUUGACACUUCUGCAUAAUUAAUCUACAAUGCCAUUAAACUCUUCUACAGAAAACAAAGAACAACCAUGGGUAGCUUAUGGAAAAGAAGUUCUUUCUGAGAAACUUCUAAGCAUGAUAUCAUUGCCAGUGGCAUGUACCCUACACAAGUAAGUGACGAAACAGGAAACUGGAACAGAAAGAAUAGGGAAGAAGAAAAGUCUACCAUAAAGAACUUGCUAUCUCACCAGGAACUACAGAGUCAGAAAUGUGUGUAUCUAAAUGUGAGCAAAGCCAUGAAACAAACGUCUAAUUGAAUAAGUUUGGCCAAUUCAGUACAUAAUAGAAAAUGUUUAUGUGAUGUCAUCACUGAAUUAUUUCUAGCUGAGAGACUCAUGUACUGCUGUGGUGUUCUUUCAGAAGGUUGGUUAUGUGUCCUUUUCCAUACUAAUGGAGUGAACAAUCUAAUAGUUUUGGGUUGUUGUAUGUAGAUGUAAAUUCAAAGUAGAGAUGCUCUCAUCUUUAUUCAAGAAAACAGUGCUUGUUUGUGCUACAUUCAAAGGCAGGUAGAAAUGCAUUGAUGGAAGAAUCCUAUCCUCAAAUAUAUAGCUGCUGUUAAAAAAGAAGUCCUUACUUCCAGCUGAUCUACCUGAGGAGCGAGCUUUUAGGUGGUCUCAGAAGUGAUAACCUCUGAAUUCUACAACAUCAGGAAACUUUGAGGAAGUGUCAGAGACGAGACUUCCAACAUUGUUGUAAUAUUUUGGAGACUGUAUUUAAUUUGGGGAUUUUUUUUUAUUUUUUUAUUUUUUGGUAAGGGUAUAUAAGUACUGGCUUUACUAUGUAAAGAAAGUACAUAUUGUAAACCUAGAAUGUGAAAGAAGAAGUGAUAAUGAAGUAAAUUCUUAACACUGUAAGAAAUCUGUUGGAUUAGCUUUUAUGCUGUAUGUAAAUCAGGAUUGUACUUUUCUCCUCUACAUAUGUGUUCUUUUUCAUUACUUUCAGUUUUUGUUGGGCAAAAGCCUGAUAGGAAUAUUAUAAAAGCAAAAUUAAAGGUAUAACUGCUAGAAUAAAACUAACUGAAAUAAAGACAAGCAAAUGCUAAGUGUUGCAUCUCACGGGGAGUCAAAAGGUGGAUGGCCGAUCAAGCAGAUGUUACUCAACACUUUUUGAGAACUGGCAAAUAAUUAGAAGAAAAUACAGCUGGAAUGCAAUCUAACAAAGAAUCAACUCAAAUGUUUCAGAUCAGCAGGAUCUGUUUAAUGUGUCAGCUUCAUUCCUCAAGCAUUAACCUGCAGAUAAGCAUGACAUAGAGCUGCAGCUUCUUAACCACACAAACUGGAUGAAAUUUUGUUUCAAAUAUUUCUGAACUGCAGCCCAUCAGGUUAGUGCUUAGAUCCUCUAGUUCUGAAGUUGUUUGGUUAAGGAAUAAAUGUUUUUCCUUCCAGUCCAUUAAGGAGAUUAAUAUAUUCUUCAUUAGUCUGAAAUUGGUUCACUCCUUUAAUUAUGGGAAGCUUUAUUGCUAAGCAGUUGCAUGAAAGAAAUAUUAGGUCUGAGAAGUUACUUUCAACGUUACUAUUUGCAAAUUAAUGGUAUCUUUAUUCAAAUGAGAAGCAAUGCUUAGGUUACGAAGAGCACUAUAAUAAGAUGUAUAAUUUGAAAAUUUAGCUUGAAUCUCUAUUAAUAAUGCUCUUAACAGGGUCAUAAAAUAGCUGUUUGAAACUCUACCUCUCAGCUUAGAGAUGGUAUAGCUGAAAUACACACUUAUUAGGGCAGAGACAACAGGACUCCAAUCUGUAUCUGCAUAUGUACCAAAUUGUGCAGCACCUACCUGAAGUAAUUGUGUCCCUUAAUUAUGUUUUAUGAUCAGCAAAUUCUUAACUUUUCAGAAUGUUCUUACUAUGCUUCCUGGUCUUCAUGGCACAUUCUACAGGAAUGUUUUCUGCAGUGACCCUGCAUACAGGCAGCAAACUUAAAGCAAAUGGCUGAGCUCUUUCCCCAAGCUACAGAAGAUAUUGCAGUAGUAUGCCCUGUUUGCUCUCAGACAGGAAGCAUCCACUGAGAUUCUUAAGACAGGUGAGACUAGAAACCAAAACAUCACAGCUGGAAUGACUAACGAUACAUUAUUUCCUAAAAGGAAAAACUUUAGUUUUGGUGAUGAAAUGAGUUAGACAUGGCUGGUUUUGCUACUUCUCAGAAUCUUGGGAUAGGAUAAGCAGUGCCUAAGUGAGUGUGUUAUUGCUGGAUAAAUAUGUAAAAUAGAACUUUAGGGAGAUUAAUUCUCAAUAACACUAAAUGCCUUUUCCUGUUCAAUGUACUGCAUGGUCCAUUAAGCAUAUGCAACUGCUACAACCCCCAGGCUUCUAUUUAGGUUCUCCUAGGGGAGGAAAGAGCCUGGGUUUUGGCCAAACAAAAUAAAAUACAUGCUGUGGAAUUCUGUUUAACUGCAGAGAAUGAAAUUAUUGCUACACUUUAUAGAAUAUGCUUAGUAAUGCAGUAAGAAUUUACUUUAUAAACUUUUUAGAGGAGAGGUCAUGUAAUUUUAAGUCCUUGAGGAUGCAUUAUGGGUUAGAGUGAUGUAGAAGGCUCAGAUCACUUUAUCUCAAUUUGCCCCAGGUGUCCUACUUCACCAAUGACCCCAUCAAAAACAGUGGCACUAACGUGAAAUUAAGACAAUGAAAAUCAUGAAUCAAAAUAUUAUAAGCAGUUGUUUGUUUCUGCUUAAUUAAAAUCUGUAUCUGCUUGUUUACUGCUACUUGUUCUUUGUAUUAACAAGCUUGGCUGUGUCUCACACAUCUGAAGAAGCCAAGGAAAGUAUUAAGUACUUUGAUAUUCCUCUGUCUCUCUAAUACAAGAAAAUUUUUUGGGUUUGCAACCAUGCGAGUCUGUCUUUGAAAAUGUUUAGUCUUAACUAAUGCAGUUGAAGGUUAUGGCUUUUUUUGUGUGUGUCUACAAGGGCCUGUCACUGCAGCAUUAUGAAAAAUUUGCAUAUAAAGCAUCUGGUUUAAGAACAUUGUUUGCAUAUUAUGUAACUUUCAUAUGUAUUUCCAGUGUCAUAAUGAAGUAAUAGUGUUUGAUUUGCUGUUCAUGGGUCAGCAAGUGUUAUUUGUUUAUUUAGUGCUGGUAGUUUUGCUUUCUCUCUGUUUACCCAGAAAGAUAUUUCCACGUUUUUUUCCUGAGAGGAGAGGGGAAGUGUUUACAACUGGGACAAGGAAAUUCUGGCAUACGUUUGGCAGUGUUGAGCUCUGUGAGUUCAGCAGCAAGCCACUGUUCAUUUUGUUUGUCAACACAAAGCUCAUAGAACAUGGCACAGUAAAGAAAAUUUGUAAUAUCUCACCUAUCCGUAAGAGCUGCUGUGUCCUUUUCCCCUUAAGUAAUAGUUUCCUGUAAAGUUUUAGGUAAGUGCAGAUUCCCUUCCCUGUUGUCAUCAUAACUGGUUUUCUGGAUCAGGCUGAGCUACACCAGUGUGCUCUUAAUUAAAAAUGAUCAGACAAACUCCAGGGCCAUGGGACAUCUGAGCCUGAAUGAGGCUUUAACAUGGCUUUGUUUUACCACAGAUGUUUAUUUACCAUCACCGUCCUUAGCUUUACUAAUUCUGCUUCCUUUCCAUCCACCAACCUGAAACCCAGUUGUCAUUCCAGGCACAAAGACAUGUAAAUGAGGUGUCCUAUUAAACUGAUAUUGUCAAAUGUGAUGUGAGCAAGUGAGCUGCACUCCUCUCAUCAGUGAUACCGAUGACUAUGCUGGUGCUGUUCCCAAGGCAAGAAAGGGGCAGGCAUUGCUUCCUGUAGAUUUUCAUGUUUUCUUCCCUGCUAGACAGGACUGCAAACUAAACUUCUGAGACCAAGGGAAAUCAAUAUUCAUAUUAUUUCAGCUUUUUCAGAUAUCGUAUCUGAGAACCAUUCUUCAUGUCAGAAUUCUGGUUUCUGUAUAUUGUGUGCUGUGCCUCUGAGAAAUCCACAGAAAUGCGAUUUUCAGUCUGCCGUAUUUUGCACGUUGUAUGCACAGCCAUCAGUGCUGAAAGCAGUCUCACGUCAGGACUGUAGGAAUUGUCAGAAAGCACUAUUUUUCUGUCAGUUGAGCAAAGGCUUUUUGUGGAAAGCAAAUGAAACCACAGUACUUUUUAAAUUUGUAAGCAUGCUUUCUGUAGUGUUCAUCCAUGUGGCCAACCUGAAGGAAUUGAGUCAUCGCUUCAGAUCUUGUGAGAGAGAAAUGGGUGAAAAUUGCCAAUGUAACAUGCUUCACUUAUCCACCAGGAAAAUGUAUCUAGGCAAACCUAGAGACUUGAAAUGUGAAGAGCUGCAAUUUCCUAUCUGCUCUGUAUUAUCACAGGAGUGAGGAUUUUGGUUAGUCUGAUCCAGCAAGAAUUAGCCAAAAUCCCUAGGGUAGAAAGGUAGUUACAUGAACCCACACUUAACUAGCCUUCUGCAGUAAUUUCUAGGCUAGCCUAGAAAAAUGUUUGUUCCACUUGGCAUAGUCUUUAUGGAGGAACAAACCUCCACUGCAUACAAAAUAAAAGGAAGAAAGUUUAUAAAGGGGAUAUAUGAAGAAGCCUUGUUUCAGCAUACAUGGAGUUCUUUUUCUAAUUACUCCCCAUAUUCGGCUCUGUUGUCUUAGAGCAAGUUCAUCUCUGUGUGAUUGCUGAUUAAUCUUUGUAGGUUUUUGUUUGUUGUGGGUUUAAUGUUUUUGUUUUAGGACAGAGGAAUGGUGUUUCUCACAAUGGGAGAAUAAGCUUGUUUGGAUUUCUUUUCAACUUCAAGCCUCAGAGUUGCAAAGGACUUCCUCAAAGAUUUAUAACGCUCAGUCUUGGGCACAUCAGAUUCCUCUCUUGUGUAUGUGUCCCCUUUCUCCCUUUCUGGAUGGUUAGCAAGGACCACGAGAUGGAUCAGAUUGAAUGACCUCCUGUUUAUCAUGGGACACUGCAUUCAGAUGGAAAUGCCAUGUUAAGCUUAGUAAGAUAAGAGCAUUUCCGUCCUUAUGAGAGUGAGCUGUGUGCUGCAGUCUGGGAACGGGAUAUCCGGUGUCACCAGUAGUGCUGGUCAUGCGGCCAGGACAUCCGGAGAGAAUCCUGACCUGAUCAUAGCUGGUCCUGCUUUCAGCAGGAGGACAAUUAGAGACAUUCUGAGGUCUUUUCCAACCUGAAAUUAAAUGUCAUCCUAAGAAGGGAUGCUGUUUUCAAUGCUGUAGCAACAAAUUAAUAUCCAAAAUAAUAGCCAGUCUGACAUAGGAGAAUGAUUUCCUGAUAGCAGAUUUGACAGUCUGACCAUCAAUCUGGUCUUGAGUUUGGGAUUUAAAAAUUAAAGGUUUUCUAUGCCACCUCAGUGUAGCUGUUUUCUCACUCUAGCUUGUCACUUAAUCAUCUCCCAAAUAUACCUAGUUUCAAAUAUAUAAACUGAUAUCUGUAUAGAAAAAUAUCUUCUAAUACAAAUGUUUUGCUGGGAUCAGUUAUGUAUGAGAAGCAAGAAUAGUCUUUUUCUUGACCUUUGCUGAUGAAUGCCAAAAGUGUGGGUUUUGCUUACAUAUAUCUUAUAGCAGUACUGUGGGUGUUAUAAGCAGGUCGAUAACAAAUCCAUUCUGUCUCCAGUCUGCCCACAUAAAUUCACAGAUUAAUUAGUCAGCAGAGACCACAAGGAGGAUACAAUCUACAUGCUUAUAAACAAGCCAGUCUGUGCUGAAUACACAUAAGAACCUUAUGUUAUUUAAUGUAAGAGGCAAAUAUGAAACAGCAUAAGGGAAAAGGGAAGUAAUUAUAUUAAUUCUAGAGAAGUUUCUAGGGUAUUCUAUCCAUUGCUUUGAAUUCCAAUUAAAACUAGUUUCUAGUCAAGAGCUUCUGAGAUCAGGUUCUUUAUUUGGAUCUGAAACUCAGAAGGCUUACCUUUUUAAAACAGAGAAAAUAUUAGAAAGAAUUGUCUCUUGUAGAUCUCACAGGUUUUGUUUGUUUAUUUUCAGAAUGAAAGUUUUCAUGUAAAAUGUGUGCUUGCACCUCAGGUGUUUUUUUUUUUUUAAUGUCAUGUGUAUGAAAAUGUGAUGUUUCAUAUUGCAAAUGAAGCAAUUCAAAGAACGGACUUUACUGUUGAUUCAGUUGGUCCUACGCCUGAACAGUUUGGACUUGGUCAAUUGAAGAACUUCAAUAUGUUAACAGUCAUAAGUACAUGUGACCAUUCUUACUCUAAAUGCUCUCACUCUUGAUUACUGUUUUCUGAUGGGAACAUUGUUUUUCUCCCAACAAAACAAUGGUAAAUAGAUGUUUCAGAUCAACGGGUAAGCAUCUGAAAAAUAAUUAUAGAUAUAUUUUAAAAAAAAAGAAGAAAAAAAAACAGGGAAGCAAGAGUUAUAACUUGAUUUAGUGUUGCCAGUGGUGAAAUCAGAAAUUGCAAUUACUGAUGUCUGCAAAAUCUCUGCAUUUUUCUGAGAUAACCAAAUUUUCAGUACUCUUUUGUAGAACAGGGACUACUCGUGCUUAUUUUAAUAUUAUGACAAAUUACCAUAACACACGUAUUUGAGACACUUCAGUGCACUGUGUGCAUCAUUCUUGUUGAAGGACUUAGAUGUGUGCUCAAGAAUAUAAAUUUGCUUUAAUUUUCACUGGAUUCAACUUGCAGAUGUGUAGAUCUGUGUGGUUUGUAGGUAGUGUAUCACAGAUUUAAAAGCGUGUUUUCUUUUCUGGAUCUAAACCUUUUAUGACAAAUGAAGAAUCUUUGUGGUGUGAAAUUUGUGAAACAAUGAAUAUUUUUUGAAUCCUAUAAACAAAAUAUUUUUUAGAAAGGACAUCAAACUUUAGGCUUCAAAUAUCUGUCAAGAAUGGAAAUCAUAGAAAAUAUUCUUCUCAAAAAAGCAAUGUUUAACUACUUCCAUAUUUUAAUUUAAUAACUGUCAAGUGCUGAAAAUAGAUUUGUGCCUUGGCCAACCCUUAGUCUGUUUUUUCUCUGAAUUGGAAGGGUUCAGUUCACAAAGAAUCUCUUCUUUUCAACAUAAAUGUGUUGAGUUGUAGCUUAAAGCUUUGAUCUCAAUUACAAUCGUUGCUCUGUUGGUGUAUUUCUGUGUAUUUUAUGAGACCCUGAAUGUUAUUUUGUUUUGUGGCUGUUACCUGUACCACUACUAUUCUGUUGCUCUCUGCAGUGUGCAUUACCCACCAGAGGGAGCCAAAGCCAAGAACCGUCAGAUUUUGCUUUGCCUUUCAAUUUUCAGAGGUUCCCUACUGAAAGUCAUCUCCUCCACAACACAGUGCUUUAGAUUCAGGUCUCUGUCUUCAGGUUAGUCAUUCUUAAAUUGUAUUAAGCUCUAUUUUCAUUAAUACAUGUAAAGGGCCCAAGCUUCUAAAAAUUACUUAAGCUAAAGUUGGGUGCUAUGGUUAGGAGCCUGAUAAGUCCCACAACAAAUAUUUCUUUCCAAAUUUUCAAUUUUCUGGAGAAUGUUAACAGCUAAUUUAUUUACAGCAAACCUGAAAGAUUAUCACUUACACCUCCUAUUCUAAUGUCUACUGAGCAAUCAUGUUUUCGUAUAUGCAUUAUUUACUUCUAAGUUUGCAAACACGUUAUUAACACUACUAGUCAUCAGGCAUUGAGGUGAUGCAUUUAUAGGCAUUAUAGGGAGUGAGUAAAUAAAAUGGAAGCUGGAAAUAGGAACCAUUAAAUCAAAUCUGUUGUAUCCGUAAAUAAAUGUUAUGGAUAUAAUGAAGCUGAUGGAUUUUCUUGUAUUUCUAGGUAAUAAUUGGCUGAGAUUAGUAAUUAAUUAUAUUUGCAUCAGAUAUACAAGCAAACCUGUCUGCUAAGCAGACAUACAUUUUUUAAUGGGAAGCACAGCUGGGCUCAGAGCUUGAUUCCUUGCAUUGAAAACUGGACUUAUGUGAAAGAUGCCUAAAAUGAUGACCUCCACCUGCUUCCCCCAUUCACCUGCUGCCUGAUAUUUUAGGUAUUUCACUUUCUUCCAGUAAUGCCCAGAAACAGUUCCAUCUUGACAGAGUUGAGCAACUCAGUAUUUAUAAACCUAUUUUUUUAUAUCUGCAAAACAUUCUUAAAGCAUUUCCUAGUUGCAGCUGGCCGUAUGAACAUAUAUAGUCUUUAGCAAAAGGUGGAAUUUUCUUUGUACUAUAAGAGGCAGGAAAACUCAUAUAUCAUAUAUGAAGCUGGUCCUUACUACCUCUAAGCUGCUUGCUACUUGCUCAAGUCAUUUGUCAUUCUAAAUGCAUCCUAAAUGCUGUGUCAUAAUUUGCCUUCUCCAACACCAUUAGUAUAUCAGUCACAGGAAUCAGAGAAAUCUGAUGGAAGCCUUUGAAAGUUCCUUAACUAACAGGCCUGCGUAUUUUCUACACCACAGAUUGUAGGUAAUCAGCCUGUUAGACCUCCUCUGAGAUUAUUUUUCAAAUUCAAAAUCUUGUCAUAGAAAAAUGGUCACACACAACCCCAGUUUUGGCUCAGGUUUCUGUUCCUUGAUAGAAACUUUUCAUGAGGAAGGUAUGAGAAAGUUUAUAUCAAAUUGCUGUCUAAUAGAGUUUGCUGUACAGCUUUCUCAAUUAGAAAUUGUUUUAUAUAGCAAAGCAUGAGAUUUUAAUAGUUUCUGAAUGUCUGUAUAAUUCUAUCUGUAUAUUAUCUAAAGUACAAAGAGCUCUUUAUCCCUAUUUCAGCAUAACAGAGAGGGUGAUUAAUUUGUGUUUAUUUUGUCAUCAAUUUAGUUGUAUAAUGGCAUAGCUUGUUGGGAUUUUUUAUAGGUGUUUUCCCAUAUUUAAAUGGGAAUUAAUCUGUCAAAUGUAGUUAACAGAAAUGUGAAAAUUUCAAAAAGAUUAGCAAGAGACUUCUGAGUUUAAAAAACAAAGGAAAUCUUCAAUUGCGCAGUUUCCAGUGGUACCUCCUCACCAGUGGCUAUUGAAUAACAGUGCUGUAAGACACUAUGAAUGUGCAUUUUGUGAUUUUCUUAAUAAAAAUGGGAGAAAAUCUUACAAACAUUUUGAAAGAGGAGAUGAUUUAUAUUGUAAUGUAUUUCAGAUGCAGUUACUUAGCUAUAAGGUGACCCUUUAGUCACAACUUCUCCUUUUAGUUCUCUUGGAUUGCUUUUUACUCUGCUCCUAAUUAUUUUUGACAGCUUUUUUCCUUUGUUUCUCUACAUAAUUCCCCACUGUCAUUUCAAUCUUUCUCUUA